RNAcentral lists this ribosomal RNA (252 nucleotides) under uncultured bacterium. RNAcentral describes it as "partial 16S ribosomal RNA". It matches the Rfam family "Bacterial small subunit ribosomal RNA", at positions 524 to 776 of the family's 1533-position model. The record is from RNAcentral.
UACGGGGGGAGCAAGCGUUGUUCGGAUUUACUGGCGUAAAGGGCGCGUAGGCGGUCGUGACAAGUCACUUGUGAAAUCUCCGGGCUUAACUCGGAACGGUCAAGUGAUACUGUCGGACUAGAGUACAGAAGGGGCAACUGGAAUUCUCGGUGUAGCGGUGAAAUGCGUAGAUAUCGAGAGGAACACCUGCGGCGAAGGCGGGUUGCUGGGCUGAUACUGACGCUGAGGCGCGAAAGCCAGGGAGCGAACGGG